UUUUUAAAAAAUGCUGGCACGCAAAAAGGUUUGAAUUUUGGUUUAUUAAACCCGGGAAACCGCCACAGGGAAAGUUCAAAUAAGCGGGACGAGGGUUUCUAAUUUUUACUCUUACUCUUUUGGAUCUCAAGCACGAAGCUUCUUCUCAUCAACACUUCACCGUCUUCCAUUUGAGUUCCAUCGGAUUCCGAUCACAGUUCAGGUUUUGAUUGAGAGGAGGAACCAGUGGAAAUCACUAAGAAGGGAGGUGAUAUCUGUACUACAAUAAACAUGACGGAAAAAUAUUCACAAGAAAUUGUAGAAUGGGAGUUCACACUGUUGGAGUUUGUUUAUUAGUGUUACUGGUAAUUCUUGAUGCCCCUAUGAAUGUGCUCUUUUUCGCCUGUUACAUAAGGAAGAAGUAGGAUUGAGUCACAUUUACUAUAGUUGUGCUUGUAUGCGAGUAGGUUGUGAUAAAAUGACAUACUCAAAUUCUGAAACUCUGAAUAUAACAAUUAAAGCUAGGAACAGUGAAUUUUGGAAUCAUUGGACUGCUUUAUGACAUGUUUCUCCUGUUCAGGGUAUGCUUGCCGUAAACAACCUGACAGGCACAAACCUCUCUCCUGUCGUCCUGUUUAACUAUCUUAGGCAUGCAACUUUCAAGGAAAAAAAAUCUUCUACUGUACUUGGCCAAUUCCAUUGGCUAAGCUUCUUUAGUGGAAGGUUCCUAGUGUUUCUCUUCCCA
Molecule: non-coding RNA, 724 nt
Organism: Solanum lycopersicum (tomato)
Lineage: Eukaryota; Viridiplantae; Streptophyta; Magnoliopsida; Solanales; Solanaceae
Source: RefSeq, a predicted model, not a curated record